This is a long non-coding RNA of Dreissena polymorpha, 1180 nucleotides long. RefSeq lists it as uncharacterized. Lineage: Eukaryota; Metazoa; Mollusca; Bivalvia; Myida; Dreissenidae. The transcript has 5 exons. The record is from RefSeq and is a predicted model, not a curated record.
AUAAACUACAACAUUAGAAACAUAAAAUGUGGCAAAUUUACCUGCUAUGGCGCAAUUACGGUUGUAUGCAACUUGACGCUUGACAUCCCAUGCGAAUGCUUUGAGCUGCAAGUGUCUGAGCGGCUGGAAUGGAGAGCACUGCCAGCCCGAGAAUGGCUACUAAAUGUAUUCAAGGAUGGACGGGGCCACGUUGUCGUACUGAUAUAGACGAAUGCAAAAAUUCGUCGUUAUAUUCAUGUGGAAUACACCAGCAUAGCAGUAAUCACCGAGGAAAUUACUCAUGUGAUUGUGAUGCCGGAUGGAGUGGAGAACACUGCGAAACAGACAUCAAUGAAUGUGAUCAUUCGCCGUGUCAAAAUUGAUCCACUUGCCACAAUCAAGAGGGUUCAUAUAUGUGCAUGUGCCCUCCAGACUGGACUGGUAAAAACUGUGCGCAGACAAAUUACUGUUAUUUAACACCUUGCGUAAAUAAUGCUACUUGUCUAAAUGACCCAAGUUGGAGGAAUUGUUUUUGUCCUGUCGGCUGGCAAGGUGAAGACUGCAAUCAGGACAUCAAUGAAUGUUUAGAAAACCCAUGUAAGCACAAUGACACCUGUAGCAACUCAAAUGGGUCAUAUGUCUGUAACUGCCUAAUGGAAUGGAGAGGAUACGUAUGUGAAAUCGAUGUCGAUGAAUGGUCGGUAAACACAUCUCUCUGUAGACACUGAUCAACUUGUGCUAACAUCGAAGGUUCUUUUAUAAGUGAUUGCAGCAGUGGAUUCGCAGGUCACAGCUGCGAGGCUGACAUAAACGAAUGCCUUUCCGCCCCAUGUGUGAACAACGGGACGUGCAACAACACCAUUGAUUCUUUCAACUGCGUUUGCGCUCAGAACUAUACGGGGAAGAACCGCGAAAAGGAGCUAUCCGCAAAUUCAGGUAAGGGAGCCGAUAACACGCCGGUCAUUGUCGGUGCCGUGCUGGGAAGCUUGGGUGCUGUUGGGGCCGCGGGUUUAGGCAUAUUUCUGUUCAAUAAAUUUAGCCCUUGGCGGUUCAACAAAACGCACAGUGACUUUUCGUCAUAUGGCUUAAACAAAAAAGAGACAGCUGAAGAAAAACCUACAAUGCCGGGACAAACAUAGUUUCAGGCGACGUAAUAACUGAGGUUGAUACGUGUGUAGGCAUGGACACAUGUGCGAUUCAC